This 37-nucleotide transfer RNA is filed under the name Geocapromys ingrahami (Bahamian hutia). Its description in RNAcentral is "partial tRNA-His". The record is from RNAcentral. Lineage: Eukaryota; Metazoa; Chordata; Mammalia; Rodentia; Capromyidae.
AGUCUAAUAAUAGAAGACUAUAAACUUCUUACUUACC